UACGUAGGGUGCGAGCGUUGUCCGGAAUUAUUGGGCGUAAAGAGCUCGUAGGCGGUCUGUCGCGUCGGUCGUGAAAACUUGGGGCUUAACCCUGAGCUUGCGGUCGAUACGGGCAUGACUGGAGUUCGGCAGGGGAGACUGGAAUUCCUGGUGUAGCGGUGAAAUGCGCAGAUAUCAGGAGGAACACCGGUGGCGAAGGCGGGUCUCUGGGCCGAUACUGACGCUGAGGCACGAAAGCGUGGGGAGCGAACAGG
This 254-nucleotide ribosomal RNA is filed under the name uncultured bacterium. RNAcentral's name for it is "partial 16S ribosomal RNA". It matches the Rfam family "Bacterial small subunit ribosomal RNA", at positions 524 to 776 of the family's 1533-position model. The record is from RNAcentral.